GAUGAACGCUGGCGGCGUGCCUAAUACAUGCAAGUCGAGCGAACGGACGAGAAGCUUGCUUCUCUGAUGUUAGCGGCGGACGGGUGAGUAACACGUGGAUAACCUACCUAUAAGACUGGGAUAACUUCGGGAAACCGGAGCUAAUACCGGAUAAUAUUUUGAACCGCAUGGUUCAAAAGUGAAAGACGGUCUUGCUGUCACUUAUAGAUGGAUCCGCGCUGCAUUGGCUAGUUGGUAAGGUAACGGCUUACCAAGGCAACGAUGCAUAGCCGACCUGAGAGGGUGAUCGGCCACACUGGAACUGAGACACGGUCCAGACUCCUACGGGAGGCAGCAGUAGGGAAUCUUCCGCAAUGGGCGAAAGCCUGACGGAGCAACGCCGCGUGAGUGAUGAAGGUCUUCGGAUCGUAAAACUCUGUUAUUAGGGAAGAACAUAUGUGUAAGUAACUGUGCACAUCUUGACGGUACCUAAUCAGAAAGCCACGGCUAACUACGUGCCAGCAGCCGCGGUAAUACGUAGGUGGCAAGCGUUAUCCGGAAUUAUUGGGCGUAAAGCGCGCGUAGGCGGUUUUUUAAGUCUGAUGUGAAAGCCCACGGCUCAACCGUGGAGGGUCAUUGGAAACUGGAAAACUUGAGUGCAGAAGAGGAAAGUGGAAUUCCAUGUGUAGCGGUGAAAUGCGCAGAGAUAUGGAGGAACACCAGUGGCGAAGGCGACUUUCUGGUCUGUAACUGACGCUGAUGUGCGAAAGCGUGGGGAUCAAACAGGAUUAGAUACCCUGGUAGUCCACGCCGUAAACGAUGAGUGCUAAGUGUUAGGGGGUUUCCGCCCCUUAGUGCUGCAGCUAACGCAUUAAGCACUCCGCCUGGGGAGUACGACCGCAAGGUUGAAACUCAAAGGAAUUGACGGGGACCCGCACAAGCGGUGGAGCAUGUGGUUUAAUUCGAAGCAACGCGAAGAACCUUACCAAAUCUUGACAUCCUUUGACAACUCUAGAGAUAGAGCCUUCCCCUUCGGGGGACAAAGUGACAGGUGGUGCAUGGUUGUCGUCAGCUCGUGUCGUGAGAUGUUGGGUUAAGUCCCGCAACGAGCGCAACCCUUAAGCUUAGUUGCCAUCAUUAAGUUGGGCACUCUAAGUUGACUGCCGGUGACAAACCGGAGGAAGGUGGGGAUGACGUCAAAUCAUCAUGCCCCUUAUGAUUUGGGCUACACACGUGCUACAAUGGACAAUACAAAGGGCAGCGAAACCGCGAGGUCAAGCAAAUCCCAUAAAGUUGUUCUCAGUUCGGAUUGUAGUCUGCAACUCGACUACAUGAAGCUGGAAUCGCUAGUAAUCGUAGAUCAGCAUGCUACGGUGAAUACGUUCCCGGGUCU
Molecule: ribosomal RNA, 1372 nt
Filed under: uncultured bacterium
Lineage: Bacteria
Description: bacterial SSU rRNA
Rfam family: Bacterial small subunit ribosomal RNA
Source: RNAcentral